This 206-nucleotide unclassified non-coding RNA is filed under the name Cryptodiscus sp. Its description in RNAcentral is "partial contains 5.8S ribosomal RNA, internal transcribed spacer 2, and large subunit ribosomal RNA". The record is from RNAcentral. Lineage: Eukaryota; Fungi; Ascomycota; Lecanoromycetes; Ostropales; Stictidaceae. RNAcentral also lists the same sequence under 1 other name.
AACGCACAUUGCACCUCCCGUGAGGGAGGUAUGCCUGUCUGAGCGUCAUCGAAACCAAUGAGUCUCCGGACUUGUGUUGGGCUCCGCACCCUCGCGUUGCCUCGAAGCCAUGGUCUAACCUGCGGACGACUCCAAUCGGACCUGCCGCGGCGUGGCCCAUACAUACGUUUGACCUCAGAUCAGGUAGGAAGACCGCCUGAACUUAA